AGAAGAGGACAGCAGAAUUGGGAAAGAGGAGAGGAGGAAAAAGAAAGGAAAAGAAAGAAAGAAAGGAAGAUGGAGAAGAAGAGAAGGGAAAAGGGAGUUGGUGCUGGAUUUUUUUCUGAGUUUCUCUAGCAAAAAAGAACACUAACAAGGGGAAAAGAAGGAUUUUGAUCUGAGGUACAAGGAAUUUGAGAGAGAGAAAUGGAGAAGGUGAACAGUAGCAAAAACAGGGGUUCAGCAGAGGCAGCAUGUUUCUCUUCCAUCCAGGAGGAGCUUUUGAUUAUGGUUUUAAGUGGAUGGAAGGUGAUAUUUGCUAGUUAGUAUCAUAGGUCAGUUUUGCAGGCAAUUUAGGGUGAAUAUUGGGUAUCAGUUUUAUGGAUCUUAGAGCUUCGAUUGGCUAGAAUCCACAGUCUUAGAGAGCAUCGGAAGAAUGAUUAUUCAGUAGAGAUAAAGGUGUGACAUCAUUAUUUUUAAUGACAAAUGAUUGCGAAGGGUUACCAUUUAUGCAGUACAGAAUCACCUUAAUCACCUUCACAGUAACAUUAUCAGGUCAAGAACUCAUCAAAUGUAAUUUUUGUAAUUUUAAUAAUUUUCAAGGUAGGAAAAAAAAAGAAUCCGACUAAUUAAAGUUGACUGGUUAGAUCUAAUUUCUAGCUUAACUAAUUAAUUUGUCUAGUUCAUUUUUUUUUCCUUUUCGUUAAGCUUCAAUUGAGAUUCAAACUCAACCAGUUCCUUUUAUUCAUUUGACUUGGUUGGGAUUUAAACUCAAAAUCUCAUAAUUCUUGGAAAUAACUUUAUUACCCCCAAAAAAUGGGAUUGACCUUAAAAUGUAGCAUACUAACUUUUAAUUAAUUAGUCAAUUUAAUGGAAAGAAAAAU
This 875-nucleotide unclassified non-coding RNA is filed under the name Hevea brasiliensis (rubber tree). The record is from RNAcentral. Lineage: Eukaryota; Viridiplantae; Streptophyta; Magnoliopsida; Malpighiales; Euphorbiaceae.